RNAcentral lists this ribosomal RNA (1394 nucleotides) under Pryeria sinica. RNAcentral's name for it is "16S ribosomal RNA". The record is from RNAcentral. Lineage: Eukaryota; Metazoa; Arthropoda; Insecta; Lepidoptera; Zygaenidae.
AAAGAUAAUAUUAAUAAAAUAAUAAAUAAUGAAAAAAUUCUUAAAUAUUUAAUGGGGGUUAAAGUAUUUAUAGAAAAAAAAUUUUCAAGUUUAUAGUGAAUUAUGUAUUGUGAAAGAAUUAUGAAAUAAUUUAAAUAUUAAUUUAUAAGAAAGUAAUUUUCAUUUAGUGUAUCUUGUGUAUCAGAGUUUAUUAAAAAAAUUUUUUUUAUAAAAAAAUUUCGAAUUAAAAAGAGUUAAUUAAGUAAUAAAUAUAUUGUUUCAUAAAUAUUUUAAAUAAUUAAUUAGAAAUGAAAUGUUAAUCGUUUUUUAAUAUAUCUAAUUUUUUUAGAAAAAAAUUUAAUUUUAAUUUUAAAAUAUUAAAUAAUUAUUUAUAAUAUAAUAGAUAAAUAUAAUUAUUUAAUUUUAAUUUUUAAUAUUUUAGGGGAUAAGCUUUAAAAUAUAAUUUUAUAAAUAUAAAUAUUUUAUAAUUAAAAUUUUUAUAAUUUAUAUUGUUAAGAAAUUAUAAUUUAUUAUAAAUAAUUUUAUUAAAGAAAAAAAAUUUAAUUUUAUUUUAAAUUUUUAUAAAAAUAUAUAAUUUAAUGGGGGAAUUUUAGAAAUAAUGAUAAAAUUAGUAUAUAAAAGUAAAUAAAAAUUUAAUUUUAAUAAAUAUUAUAAAAGAAUUCGGCAAAUAUUUAUAUUCACCUGUUUAUCAAAAACAUGUCUUUUUGAAUAAAUAAUUUAAAGUCUAAUCUGCCCACUGAUAAUAUAUUGAAGGGCUGCAGUAAUUUGACUGUACAAAGGUAGCAUAAUCAUUAGUCUUUUAAUUGGUGACUUGUAUGAAGGAUUGGAUGAGAUAUAAACUGUUUUUAUAAUAAAUUUAGAAUUUAAUUUUUUCAUUAAAAAGUGAAAAUAGAUUUAAAAGACGAGAAGACCCUAUAGAGUUUAAUUUUUAAUAAAAUUGGGAUUUAUUUAUUAGAGGUUAAAUUUAAUUUUUGAAAAAAUUUUAUUGGGGUGAUAAAAAAAUUUAAUAAACUUUUUUUUUAAUUUAACAUUAAUAAGUGAAUUAAUGAUCCAUUAAUUAUGAUUAAAAGAAAAAAUUACCUUAGGGAUAACAGCGUAAUUUUUUCUUUUAGUUCAAAUAAAAGAAAGAGUUUGCGACCUCGAUGUUGGAUUAAGAUAAAAUUUAAAUGCAAAAGUUUAAAAUUUUGAUCUGUUCGAUCAUUAAAAUCUUACAUGAUCUGAGUUCAAACCGGUGUGAGCCAGGUUGGUUUCUAUCUUUAAAUAUAAUAGAUAUUUUAGUACGAAAGGAUCAAAUAUUAAAAAUAAUUUUAGUUUAUGAAUUUUAUUAAUUAAAUAUUAAUAAUAUAUAUAUAUAUAUAAUUAAUUUAAAUAUUAUUUUAUUUAAUAGAUAAUUU